CUUUUAAAAUAUGUGUUACUCCCCUCUUUUUCCUAGGUGACAUUUUAGGUUAUUGGGUCACAGAUUGCUGGCACAAUCAUGCCUGUUCUCAAACAUCUUUUAAACUUGGGUGAAGUGAUAAGUAGGGGAAGAAGAUGACUUACUGAAAGCAAUGCAGAGUCUCCCGACAAGAGAUUCAGACUGAACUGAACAGCUUUGUGUCAGACUUUGGAAGACCGCUGGUGCCCAAGGUGUUCUCUGACAGGGCAAUGGCGAAUCUAGGUCCCUCUUUCACUGCUACAUCAAUGAAGUGGGCCACUUGGACAAGGCCAAAACUGCUAUCCCAACAAUAGCACUUGACAGGGAUGUUCGGCUCCAGGAAGCCAUCAGAUGCAGCAGGUGGCCAGAGGGGGAGCCGAACGGGCUCAUGAAAUGUGACAUCCCCAACUUCAUCAACACGGACCAUAACUCUUCCUUUGGGGAAGAUGAUCUCCUGAUUUUGUAACCACCAAUUGUUCUAGAAGAUAAGCCAGUUGCUCAGACCUCACACAAAGACGAAUUGAGAAACGUGCUUUGUCAAGUGUCUUUCUGAAGAUGUGAAUUCUGUCUUUGUAUGUCAGGAAUUCCCCUUUCAAAAAAUUGUAUGUGUUUGUGUCUGAGAGAGAGAAAUGGAGACAGACAGAAAGACGGAGACAGAAGAGAGCCCCUCAGAAGAGAGCUAGUUAAGGAGGAGGAUCAAUACAUGGUGCAUUUAAUGACAGUCCUGUCCCCAGGAAUGCACGGAAGGUUAUCAGCUGAGUAAGGGGAGGUGCCUCUGUGUCCCUGUGUCCCUGUAUCUCUGUCUGCUCACAGUGCCCUGCCACCGGCUACUGAGCAAGAAAAGUGCUAUUCACCAUGAUGGGUAUUUUGCAGAUGUGUUGGUGAUGGUCGUGUGGCUCGUGUGUGGGCUUCUAGCUGGGA
Molecule: long non-coding RNA, 939 nt
Organism: Camelus dromedarius (Arabian camel)
Lineage: Eukaryota; Metazoa; Chordata; Mammalia; Artiodactyla; Camelidae
Exons: 3
Source: RefSeq, a predicted model, not a curated record